CCCGUUUUACAUUAACACAAUUCUUCUCAGCUUUCAAAACCCUCUUCAAUCUUCAAUCACAUCAUCACAGGAAAUCAACCACCAUAGUACAUACCCAUGAAAAUCAACUCUUUCUUCUCUGUAAUUUGAGCAGCAGCGGGUCUUCCAACUCCUUCAUCAUCUCUUUCAAUCUUUACGAAAAACAACGAGAUCUUCUCUCUCGACUGAUUUCGCAAAUCGAUAGAACCACAACAACUUCAUGCUCAUAUGUAACUUGAUUUCUUCAUCUGGUUGCAAAUCGAGCUCAACCCAACUCUUAGCAUCAUCCAAGAACUCUCAAAGUGAACCACACCAAUCACCACAGCUCAAGAACAACUCAUAUUUUUGUAACCCUAAAACCAUCAAACCCAUCACAGGUUCAAUCUGCUCCUCUCUCGAUUGAGCAACACCAACAAAUUCUUUAAAAACCCAUCUCAAUUUCAUCGAUUAUCUUCACUGAUCAACUAAUCCUUCGAUUAUGUUUACAGAGAUAAAAACCCUAAAUUCAUUUCAAUUUUCAAUCAUCAUGAAUCUCUAUCUCUGUUGUUCUUGAUCUGAACAGAAAUAACACUCUUCAUGAUGAAGUCGACCUCAGAAAAGAGAAAGAAAAAAGAGAAUAGGAGACAAAGAAAUUACAAGUUAAGAAGGGGGAGAUGAAGGUGAAUGGUAGUGCUAAGAAGAAGAAGGGUUCAAGUGGAUUUCAAGUUGGGAAGAAGAAAGUAGAGACUAAAAUGACUGCGUUGGAUAAAGCUAAAGCUAUGAACCUUGACAAAUAAAAGUAUGUGGACUCUCAGUUAAGUUUUAGUUCUUCUUAAUUUUUGUUGACAGUGAUUAUGGUUUCCCUUUAGGCACAAGAACUAUUUGUAGAAUGUCACAAAGAGUUCGCUAUUCACAUAUACCCUGAAGAUAGUAGUUUUGCAUGUUAGAAUUCCCUCUACAUCCUCCAUUUGUGUUUUUUUUUUUUUAAUGAUUGUGGGUAGUAGGCAAUUUAGCUGCGAAGUAGAUUAUAUUUUGGAAAAAUGAAGAUAAAUAAAUAAUGGCUUCGAGAAAGGAUUGCUUGAUAUGGUGAAAGUAAAUUAAAACCUUCCUUGUUUAAGAUGGGACUUUCAAAAAAGUGGGAGGAAGUGGAUAUUAUGUCAACCAACGAAGUGUCGAUAUGCUUAUCCUAAAGCAAAAUGUCAGCAUGCCAAACCAUAUUUCUGAUACUUAUUUGGUUCUUUUUUCAUUGUCAUGUAUUUAAAGAUGCAUAUACAAUAUUUUGGUUGUAAUUGUAUUUUGUGAUUAUAUAAGUUUUAGUUGUCUGAUGUGA
Long non-coding RNA from Papaver somniferum (opium poppy), 1327 nucleotides. RefSeq lists it as uncharacterized. The record is from RefSeq and is a predicted model, not a curated record. The transcript is spliced from 3 exons. NCBI's taxonomy places the organism in Eukaryota, Viridiplantae, Streptophyta, Magnoliopsida, Ranunculales, Papaveraceae.